RNAcentral lists this ribosomal RNA (253 nucleotides) under uncultured bacterium. RNAcentral's name for it is "partial 16S ribosomal RNA". It matches the Rfam family "Bacterial small subunit ribosomal RNA", at positions 524 to 776 of the family's 1533-position model. The record is from RNAcentral.
UACGAAGGGGGCUAGCGUUGUUCGGAAUUACUGGGCGUAAAGCGCACGUAGGCGGAUAUUUAAGUCAGGGGUGAAAUCCCGGGGCUCAACCCCGGAACUGCCUUCAAUACUGGCUAUCUUGAGUACGGGAGAGGUGUGUGGAACUCCGAGUGUAGAGGUGAAAUUCGUAGAUAUUCGGAAGAACACCAGUGGCGAAGGCGACACACUGGCCCGAUACUGACGCUGAGGCACGAAAGCGUGGGGAGCAAACAGG